UACUCUGUACCAAAUAUUUCUUUCGUCGCGUGCUUUUCGAUCUUUACAAUAAUUGCUGUUUCUGCACAGGACGAGGCAAUUGUGUUCCAGGAACGAGACCCAUCCAUAAUUCAUGACAUACUGAAAGCACUUAUCGAUCAAGGCGCAUCGUUGAAAGAUCACCAUGUGCAGCAACGUCGUAUAAAAACCAGUAUUUACGUGAAUGAAAGCUUUCAUUUUGUGACGCCUGGUGGAGAGGAGUUUGUCAUCGAUAGUGAAAACGUUUACGAUGCUAGUAAAAUAAAAGUGGUGUCCAAAUUUAACAUAGACGAUGAAGAUGCUGCUAAACUGCUUCUAUCACUGUUGGGAGGUGGAAGUAUCAAGUCGGUGACCAUUAAAAA
Ochlerotatus camptorhynchus is the source of this 380-nucleotide long non-coding RNA. RefSeq lists it as uncharacterized. The record is from RefSeq and is a predicted model, not a curated record. The transcript is spliced from 3 exons. Lineage: Eukaryota; Metazoa; Arthropoda; Insecta; Diptera; Culicidae.